Molecule: ribosomal RNA, 497 nt
Filed under: uncultured bacterium
Lineage: Bacteria
Description: partial 16S ribosomal RNA
Rfam family: Bacterial small subunit ribosomal RNA
Source: RNAcentral
GAUGAACGCUGGCGGCGUGCCUAAUACAUGCAAGUCGAGCGAACGGACGAGAAGCUUGCUUCUCUGAUGUUAGCGGCGGACGGGUGAGUAACACGUGGAUAACCUACCUAUAAGACUGGGAUAACUUCGGGAAACCGGAGCUAAUACCGGAUAAUAUUUUGAACCGCAUGGUUCAAAAGUGAAAGACGGUCUUGCUGUCACUUAUAGAUGGAUCCGCGCUGCAUUAGCUAGUUGGUAAGGUAACGGCUUACCAAGGCAACGAUGCAUAGCCGACCUGAGAGGGUGAUCGGCCACACUGGAACUGAGACACGGUCCCGACUCCUACGGGAGGCAGCAGUAGGGAAUCUUCCGCAAGGGGCGAAAGCCUGACGGAGCAACGCCGCGUGAGUGAUGAAGGUCUUCGGAUCGUAAAACUCUGUUAUUAGGGAAGAACAUAUGUGUAAGUAACUGUGCACAUCUUGACGGUACCUAAUCAGAAAGCCACGGCUAACUACGUG